CAGCAGCCGCGGGAACACGCAGGGGGCAAGCGUUAUCCGGAAUUACUGGGUGUAAAGGGAGCGUAGACGGCUAAACAAGUCCGAAGUGAAAUGCCGGGGCUCAACCCCGGAGCUGCUUUGGGAACUGUAGAACUGGAGUGUCGGAGGGGUAAGCGGAAUUCCCAGUGUAGCGGUGAAAUGCGUAGAUAUUGGGAGGAACACCGGCGGCGAAGGCGGCUUACUGGACGACAACUGACGUUGAGGCUCGAAGGCGUGGGUAGCAAACAGGAUUAGAUACCCCCGUAGUCCCUGUCUCUUAUAC
Molecule: ribosomal RNA, 301 nt
Filed under: uncultured bacterium
Lineage: Bacteria
Description: partial 16S ribosomal RNA
Rfam family: Bacterial small subunit ribosomal RNA
Source: RNAcentral